RNAcentral lists this ribosomal RNA (229 nucleotides) under uncultured bacterium. Its description in RNAcentral is "partial 16S ribosomal RNA". It matches the Rfam family "Bacterial small subunit ribosomal RNA", at positions 568 to 796 of the family's 1533-position model. The record is from RNAcentral.
UGCGUAGGCGGAAUAUUAAGUCAGUGGUGAAAUCCUGCGGCUCAACCGUAGAACUGCCAUUGAUACUGAUAUUCUUGAAUGUAGUUGAGGUAGGCGGAAUGUGUAAUGUAGCGGUGAAACGCUUAGAUAUUACACAGAACACCGAUUGCGAAGGCAGCUCACUAAACUGUUACUGACGCUGAGGCACGAAAGCGUGGGGAGCGAACAGGAUUAGAUACCCUGGUAGUCC